Stegodyphus dumicola is the source of this 186-nucleotide long non-coding RNA. NCBI's taxonomy places the organism in Eukaryota, Metazoa, Arthropoda, Arachnida, Araneae, Eresidae. The record is from RefSeq and is a predicted model, not a curated record.
GGUUUUCAAGCUUAAAAAAUUGCAGCUGAAGGAUUUUGUAGAAGGUGCUGUGAAAGGCAAUGGCAGAGAUCCAGUUUAUCAAAAGUUCUUAUAUACAUAAGAAUACAUGGAUAUAAGAUUGUUUUUCAGGAAUUCAAAUAAAAUGUGAUAAAUUGGAUUAAUAAAAACUAUUUUGAAUUUUGAAAA